GACGAACGCUGGCGGCGUGCUUAACACAUGCAAGUCGAGCGGUAAGGCCCUUUCGGGGUACGACGAGCGGCGAACGGGUGAGUAACACGUGGGUGGACCUGCCCUCCAGCUCUGGGAGUAAGCCUGGGAAACCGGGGUACUAAUACCGGAUAUGACUCCAUGACGCAUGUUGUGGGGUGGAAAGCCUUGUGCGGCUGAGGAUGGG
RNAcentral lists this ribosomal RNA (205 nucleotides) under uncultured bacterium. RNAcentral's name for it is "partial 16S ribosomal RNA". It matches the Rfam family "Bacterial small subunit ribosomal RNA", at positions 28 to 229 of the family's 1533-position model. The record is from RNAcentral.